This is a long non-coding RNA of Acinonyx jubatus (cheetah), 5670 nucleotides long. RefSeq lists it as uncharacterized. NCBI's taxonomy places the organism in Eukaryota, Metazoa, Chordata, Mammalia, Carnivora, Felidae. The transcript has 3 exons. The record is from RefSeq and is a predicted model, not a curated record.
UCAUUUGAGGGAAAAUGAUUCCUCAAAUCUGUUUCUUUAUUUGCCAAAUUGCUGGCCUUUUUGCUCUUUUCUUUAAAGAAAAAAAAAAGAGAGAAAGAAAAAGAAAUGUCCACUUGCACCAAUGUGACCAAACCUUUAUUCCUUUAAGGGAUGAGAAAUGUGAGAACCCACUCAAGUAAGUUCAAACCUAACUGCAACUCAGCUCUGCCCAGCUCUUGACAUAGGAUGACACAAGCCAGGCAGAUGGGCUCAGAGCCUCUCUUCCGACAGUGACUCAGGGAUCUGGGCUGCUUUCACCUUGAAAUUCUAUCAUCCUGGAGGACUUGGCUGUCAGCCACAUGGAUAGAAGAGAGGGAGGGUGAUCAACUCACAAACACUUUGAUUGCCUUGGACCAGCAGGACCAGCAGGUGAGCUCAACUCACCUUCUGAUUGGUGGAGGCUCAGUCUUAUGAUUUCUACCUCACUGCAAAGGAAGGCUUGGAAAAUGUAGUGAGUACUAUUUCUUCCGCAGUAAGAAUCAAUAGCUUGGCAGUAGAGGCUUGAUGUUGAUAUGUGGUUUAAACUGUACGUUGUUACGUUUUGGAGGAGGCACGUGGUAACAGAGAAAUGGCAUCAUGUGCAUAUCCUAGUAUAUUCUAUUUUUUUUCAGCCAAUUGACAAAUGAUUUCAGAUUUUGAUUCUCGCUGAUUGGCAUUUCUCUUGGUCCUGUGUAAACAUAUCCCUUCCGAUAGGCUACUGGCUUACUGUUGCCUCCCAUUCUUUUUUCUCUACCAGUAUGAGCAGAGUAAACUCAUUUCCUUGCACUGGUUUCAACCAGCCAUACUGGCAUGCACUUUGGACAAAUGUGUUACUAGUUUCCUUAACUGAUCCUGGAACUUGGCUAAUUACGUUUUCACAGCAGAUACACUUUGCCUCCAGAAUAGGGCAUGAGAAACUAAAAACGUUGUGCUUAGCAAUUCCAGAGAGCAUUCAAAGGUUAAUAAACAACAACAACAGCGGCAACAGCAAGAACAAAAACGAGCAAACAAUUGGCUUGCUUUUCAUGUCCUUGAAGGCAUGAGGUCAGAGCACACCUUUCCUUGCGUUCAAAUAUAUUUAUCUUGUGGUAGACUGGUUUGAUUGGUUUGGUAACUUGUGUCUGUCCAGGUCUCAAACUCUGGUUUUAUGACCACUUAUCUUUUUAUCCAACUGAAGCUUUUUCCUACUAAUAGAACUGAUUUGCAAUAAUGAUUUGCAAAAUGAUUUGCAAUAAAUAUAUUGCCUUAUCCUAGGCUAAAAUCCUGAUCAAAUUGCUAUGUGAUCGUCACGUCUUCACCCUAUAUAUAAUUUUAGUGAUCAUGUAAAGAAGCACUUGAAGCCUGUUGGGUCAUCCCUGGAGUCCAGAGAAUCUGAUCUGCACAGGAAACUUGGCUUAAGUUGUUUGGAAAUGAUCAAUGACCCGAAAUAUGAGGGAAAGCUGGUAGAUUUUCUUCUUACCUUUCAGCUGAUUCCACCAAGCCUUUUUCCUGUUUUCGUGAUGGUAUUUUGACUUUCUAAGUCGAAGGGCAAUUUUUAUUACAAGGAUCUGGCUUUCAAUUUCCUGGAUGUUUGCUUGUUUCAGAAAAUUUAAAGCCUUGGAUAUUUUAGGGCUAUCUCCUUUGGUUAUAUUUUGAAUACCUCCUAGAUAACUUGUACAAAUAUUUUGAGUUAGAUGUAUGUCUGCACAUAGGAAACUUGCAGGCUUUCAUGUUUUCUCACUUCUUUUCUCUUUAAAGUCAACAUAGUAUUUUUACUUUCAGAAAUUUCCUCUAUAUAUCCUGUGCAUUGUCUAUACCGAGCCAUCCUGUGUUUUAGACCUGUGCAUCACAAGCUAUUGAAAACAUACAGAAGCCCUUGUGAUGGAAGGGAGACCAAGGAGUGGAAGGGGAAGGAAGGUUGUAGACCUGCUGGAUUUCUAAUAAAUGUGAGAGUGUUGUGUCUUAAUCUAAUUUCAGCUGCCACUGAACAACACAUGCACAUACGGUCAAAUGCGCUACCCUGAAGGGCAUCUCUUUAAGGCAAUUCCAAGACAUUCUUAUCACAGUUGAAGACAUUUUCUACAAUAAGAAAAAAAAACAAAACAUUCCAGUGACUGCUCUGUGUUACGGCAAAGUUGCAAGGCAGAAAUGAUGGCAGGUAAUUAUGCAAACGGACCCACUCCAGUUGUGCGAAAUAUCAAUGAUAGUCAUUGUGUUCUAUGAUUCAUUGUUAUGCUCAGACCCAUUCAUGUGUUUGUGACUGCCCUUUCUGAGCAAUGUGAAAAGCAGAAAACAAAGCCCCAUGUUUAGCAUCAUCUCCAAUAAUGAUGAAUAUUUGCAAUCAAGUCCACAAUAUGACACAGAGUACUUCUACAAUAAAUGCUGAAAAAUAGGGAAGCACGCUGAGAAGACGUGACUGUUUCACUUAAUGCCAGAUUUCUCUGCAGCAAAUGAAGAACAGUGAACUGGAUCAAAUUCUAAAAUUUCAGUUCCUGAGUCUGGUCGUGAGGUACAUUUGACUUCUUCAGAUGAUGGAUUUAUUAAUUAGGAUAUUAAAAAAUCUGUGACUUACUGCUAAUUCUAUUUUAAAAAAAAUAAUGUCAGUGUCUGACUGGGAGGGAAAAGGUGUCUCCCAUGAUUAAUGACAUAUUGGGUACAAAGUUACUAAAUUCUUCUUCAGAUUCAUAAAGGCAUUAGCUAUUUCUUAAGGUCUGUAGUGGGUAAAUGAAAAUAGUCUAUGUAGUUCUUAGUGUUUUCUUCAUUUUGAUGUUUUCAUGAACAUUAAUGAUUUAUUAUUUUUGGCACUUUUUUCUUCUCUAUGAUCUGGCUUUGCUAUUUUACCAGGGAUGUGACUUUUGAACAACUCAGUCUCUCUAAGAUCCCACUUCCUACUUUUCUUUAGAAAGCAGGGAUAACAUCUCAAAGUUAAAUGAAGGUGAGGGUAGAAAGAGACACAGGUAAGUUCAUUAUAUUUUUGCUCCCUUCUUUCAAAUUUGAAGUGGGAAAUGUCAACAAAAUUACUUAUUUCAAAAUAGAAAAUUAUUAUAUUUUAAGGAUACUGAGACACAGUUUUAGGAAAGUUAAUGGAAUUUGAAAGAAAUAUGGAUUAGUAAAAUGAGCAGUUGCUCUCUGUUGUGUGAUUACGCUGCAUUUUUCCUAGUAUCGCUGAUACGCGUUUCAGUGAGAAGAGAUGCCACGUUGUUUUACUUUUAAAAUAUCAAAUUAAAUCUGACUCUGAGUCUCCAGUCUCUGAAUGGCCAGGUUUUGGAUGCCUGGAUCACAUGAGGACCUGUAGACACGAUGAGACUUUGAAGGCUGGUUGCAGCUGUCUAUACCAUUGGUACUGGGGCUUGGCCUCCACUCUAUUGGAGCUCAGACCUUGUAUGAUUUUUCAGAUUCUCCCAGUUGCCUCCUCCCUCAUCUCACUUGGCUAGAGCCCCACCUGACCCUCAUUGCCCCAUUAUUUCAGGCUUUGAUGAUAAGCCAUCUGGCAGGACAUGGGAUGUAAUUUCCUGAGAAACAUCAAUAUGCGGGCUUUUGGUGAAAUACAGAAGUUUUGAGGUGAACUUCGACUAGUGAGAAAGGGGAAAUGAGAGGGAGUCAAGAUCAAUUACCUGCAUUUGUUUGGUUCUUGUGGACUGCUAUAAGGUGCAAUUCCUAUUUGUCAACCUGACUGGAGAAGCCCCUCCUGCCAUGUGAACAUGCCUGUUGAGCCACCUGCUGUCUCUCCUCCUGGUUCCUGAAGUGGUAUUCAGCUAGCUAUCCAUUGCAUCACAUUGUUUCACAUCUUUCCAUGCCUCCUCUCCUUUUCUCCUCACUCUCACAGCCCUGGUUGGCAUCUCCCAAGUAAAGUUUUACCAGCUUGAUCUUAGUCCCCAGCUCUGCUUUAUGGAAAAUUGGGCUCAGACAGCCACAGCCCUUCUGCAUCAUGUGCUGUAUGGAAGCAGAGCUUGAAUCUUUGCUAUUGGAAGGAUUGACCUGGAAUGGAUCUCUUCCCGGGCUUGGGUUACUCAUCCUUUCCAUGGCAGGUCAGGUUGUUUCCUUUAUCCAAACCUCAACAUCAGCCUUUCUUAAUGAGUUUACAUUCCCAAACAAAACCUGGAAGAAAAUUGUCUUCAGGGGGCUUCAUGUCAUCUACUUUCACCCUUGAACACCAAAGUCAUAAAUUGCUUCCUGCACUUAGGAGCACCAGACUUGGGUCUCAAGCUUGGCUAUUGUCUUAAGAUGGAGAUGGAAAAAAUACUUCCUUUUUAUAUCCCUAAGAAUACAACAGAAAAUAGCUUCUCAGUUGAUUAUCUUGUUACACGGGCAGCUCUCUGUUUCACUACUCCACACAGGCAUCCAAGCAAGUGAAGAAUAAGGGAGAUGUGUUAAAAUCUCACGGAGUAUUUCAAAAGUUCCAUAGGUUUUCUCUAGCUUCUUGGAAUUCUAAGAUUUGUACUUUCUCCAUGGAAACAUGAGCUUUACAUGCAAUCUGCCAAAACUGUUUGGCCUAAACAAUUUAGGUAAAACUGUGAAGUUAUCUGGAAAAGGGGAGUAUCAGGACAGUGAGACAUCAUUAUUGGAGAGAAAGAAUGGAUACGCCAUCACCUAGAUAUUCACUAAUGGGAUAUUGUUGGGUGGGGGGUUGGGCCUACAAGUGGGCAAUAGAGGCUAAAAUGUUUUGUUGUUGUUGUUCUAGAGAUGCUUAUCAAUGCAAUUAAAGAAAUGAGGGGUAUAAAAUUAGAAAGAAGGGGGAAAGUGAUGGUUAUUUGCAAAUGAUGUGAUCAUUUAUUUGAAAUAUUCAAGAUAAUCAACUGAAAGGCUAACAUUGAUAAGAGAGCUAAGAAAGACAUUUACAAUUAAUAAACUGAAAUCAAGAAUUUUUUUCACACCCGCCUAGAAAAUAUAUUGGGAGGAAAUGUCCCAUUUACAAUAGAAAGAAAGAGAUAAACUACCUAGGAAUAAUAGAAAAAGAAAGCAUGCAAGGCCUACAUAAAUAAAAUGUUAAAACGUUAAUGCAAACGUGAAAGAAGUGAAAGAAUGGCUAUUCUGUUCCUAUACUUGAAUGGAAAAUUCUGUAUCAUAACAGUAUUAUUCUAAGUUUUGAGAUCCAUUCAAGAUGAUUCUAAAGUUUCUAUGAGAAAAUGAACAUGCAAGAAUUGCCAGGAGAAUUCAGAAUCAAAAGGAUUAGGAAAAAAAAAAAUUCUAGCCCUAGAGAAAAUAAAGCCUACCAUAAAGUUACAGUAAUUUAAUAUUGUGAUACUUGCCAAUGGAAUAGGUUGGAGUCCAGAAAUAGGGCCAGAUAUGAAGGAGGGGAAUCAGGGCCUCUUAAGUGUGGUUGGUCCUGAUGUAAAACCUUUAACAAUAUCUAGCUAGCUUAAAAAUGCACAGACUCUGACCUGAGAGCUCUAUUUUUAGGAAGUUAUCGUAUAGACAUUAUCAGAAACAUUUAAGUGUUUGCAGAUAUAUUUGUUAUAUCAUUUCUGUAAUGACACAAACAAAAAUAAAAGCUAAUAAAAUAUCAGUGUUCAAACCAAUUGAACCAUUGUUCAAUUUGACAACCAAAUAAACUGAAAUACCCAUGGAAUGAAAUAUUAAGCAGCCAUUUAAAAAAUUUCAUGAGGCAGCUUUAUACGAACUGAUUCAGUUUGACCUUCAAUAAAACUUAAAUGAAAAGCUAAGGAUUAGAAU